This 656-nucleotide unclassified non-coding RNA is filed under the name Hevea brasiliensis (rubber tree). The record is from RNAcentral. Lineage: Eukaryota; Viridiplantae; Streptophyta; Magnoliopsida; Malpighiales; Euphorbiaceae.
AAAACUGCAUUAAGGAUCAAAGGUAACACUCAAAGAGAUCAAAGAUUGUUAAUAUUGGAUCAUGGAAUAUUUAUAGACAAGAAUUUGUCAACAUGAUAAAAUAUGUAUCACAAGCCCUAAAAGCUAUAGCUCAAUGAGUGAGCUUCCUUCCUUAUGCUUUUGCCUGACUUCCUUCAAGUAACUUUCUGAUUACAGAAGUAACUUUCUGAUUACAGAUAUUCAAUAUCUGUCUUUGUAACUUGUUCCAUAGACGAUCAGGUAUGGUAUGGUCCGUACAACCGUGUCAAUUGGUAUGGCAAAGUUAACCCCGGAAGACAUACCCGAGCCUCUGCGGGUGAAUGUUGCUGUAUUUAGACCAAUGACAUGGCCAGAUGAGUCAAUCAACGGACCACCUGAAUUCCCUGCAUUAAUAGCAGCAUCUGUUUGAAUAGCGCCUUUAAUGGCAGCUCCAUUUGGUGCAGGUAUUUCCCUGCCUAAUCCACUAACUACCCCAGUUGUGAGAGUGUUUUCAAAUCCAUAGGGAUUUCCAAUGGCAAAACAACUUUGACCUACACGUAGGCCGCGAGAGGUACCAACAGAGACUGGUUUAACUUCAACACCUUCAACAUCAACCUGCAGUGAGAUAUCAAAUGUUAGACAACUUUAUUUUGAACAAA